GUCUGGGAAACUGCCUGAUGAGGGGGAGUAACUACUGGAAACGGUAGCUAAUACCGCAUAACGUCGCAAGACCAAAGAGGGGGACCUUCGGGCCUCUUGCCAUCAGAUGUGCCCAGAUGGGAUUAGCUAGUAGGUGGGGUAACGGCUCACCUAGGCGACGAUCCCUAGCUGGUCUGAGAGGAUGACCAGCCACACUGGAACUGAGACACGGUCCAGACUCCUACGGGAGGCAGCAUG
RNAcentral lists this ribosomal RNA (237 nucleotides) under uncultured bacterium. Its description in RNAcentral is "partial 16S ribosomal RNA". It matches the Rfam family "Bacterial small subunit ribosomal RNA", at positions 115 to 353 of the family's 1533-position model. The record is from RNAcentral.